AGCUCCAAUAGCGUAUAUUAAUGCUGUUGCGGUUAAAAAGCUCGUAGUUGGAUCUCGGCAGUCAGGGGGCGGUUCAUUUUUUGAUGCUACUGCCCCAUUUGACUGUGAUGUUUUGGCGGAGGUUGUUGGGUGCUCUUAACCGAGUGUCCUGCGGCGCCGUCAGGUUUACUUUGAAAAAAUUAGAGUGCUCAAAGCAGGCUUUACACGCUUGAAUAUUCGUGCAUGGAAUAAUGGAAUAGGACGUCGUUUCUAUUUUGUUGGUUUUCGGAAAUCGACGUAAUGAUUAAUAGGGACAGUCGGGGGCAUUAGUAUUCAGACGACAGAGGUGAAAUUCUUGGACCGUCUGAAGACUAACUACUGCGAAAGCAUUUGCCAAGAAUGUUUUCAUUAAUCAAGAACG
RNAcentral lists this ribosomal RNA (400 nucleotides) under phytoplankton environmental sample. Its description in RNAcentral is "partial small subunit ribosomal RNA". It matches the Rfam family "Eukaryotic small subunit ribosomal RNA", at positions 587 to 985 of the family's 1831-position model. The record is from RNAcentral.